CCUACGGGAGGCAGCAGUGAGGAAUAUUCCACAAUGGGGGAAACCCUGAUGGAGCGAUGCCGCGUGCAGGAAGACGCUUUUCGGAGUGUAAACUGCUUUUAACAAGGAAGAUUAUGACGGUACUUGUAGAAUAAGGACCGGCUAACUACGUGCCAGCAGCCGCGGUAAUACGUAGGGUCCAAGCGUUAUUCGGAAUUACUGGGCGUAAAGCGUUCGUAGGCGGUUUGAUAAGUUGGAUGUGAAAUCCUGUGGCUCAACCACAUGGACUGUGUCCAAAACUAUCUGACUAGAGCAUAGUAGAGGCAAGUGGAAUUUGCGGUGUAGGAGUGACAUCCGUAGAUAUCGCAAGGAACACCAAUGGCGAAGGCAGCUUGCUGGGCUAUUGCUGACGCUCAGGAACGAAAGCGUGGGGAGCGAACGGGAUUAGAUACCCCGGUAGUCCACGCCGUAAACGAUGAUCACUAGCAGUAUGGAGAUUCGACCCUCUGUGUUGCACAGCUAACGCGUUAAGUGAUCCGCCUGGGGAGUACGGGCGCGAAGCUUAAAACUCAAAGGAAUUGACGG
RNAcentral lists this ribosomal RNA (564 nucleotides) under uncultured bacterium. Its description in RNAcentral is "bacterial SSU rRNA". It matches the Rfam family "Bacterial small subunit ribosomal RNA", at positions 338 to 916 of the family's 1533-position model. The record is from RNAcentral.